Molecule: long non-coding RNA, 5295 nt
Organism: Sarcophilus harrisii (Tasmanian devil)
Lineage: Eukaryota; Metazoa; Chordata; Mammalia; Dasyuromorphia; Dasyuridae
Exons: 3
Source: RefSeq, a predicted model, not a curated record
GAGGGGGAGAGAGGCACACAGACAGACAGAAAGGGAGAGACAGAAACAGAGUAAAAGAGAUAGAGGGAGGAGAGGAAGAGGGGGGAAGGAAGAGGAUGGAGGAAAAAACAAAUCAACAGAGUGACCCCUUGAGUGAGAGAUGGAUGGGUAUAUUGAAAUAGCAAGGGAACAUUACAUAAUUAGAAAAAAUUAACCAGGAAAUGGUAGGUGAAUGGUCAAAGACAAAGAUACAGGGAGAGAAAAAUUGAUUGAGAAAGAUAGAUACAGCAGGGUGACAAUGAUUGAUGCACAGGCACUGAAAGUGUGAAUGGAGAAAUUCAGGCUGUAGGUAAGGUGACAGAGAGAUCUAACUAGCAGAAAGUGAAUGAACAGUAUGAAAUGUAAGAUGGCCGAAUUGGGAAUUAGCAGGAAAGAGAUAAAUGAACAAAAUGAAUCUUGUUAUAGAGAAUGAGACAAACGGAUCUCUUAGACUAGACACUUGGAGAUAAAGAAAUAAAAAGUUAGAAAGAAUUCAGCAUUGCAAAACCCAUGGCUGAAUAGCCCAAGAGAAGCAUGGAAUAGUGAAUGCUAAUAUUAAAAACCCAAGAAAAAUGGAAGAGUGUGUAAGAUAUCAAAAAAUGAAUUCGUGGAGAAAUCAGAAUCACAAAGAAAAAAUGGUAAGAGAGAUAAAAAUACAUGGAAAAAGUUAUACUAAGUGAGAGAUUCUUGGCUGAAGAUGCAUGUAUGAGUGAAUAGUUAAUAGUCAAAAUUGAAAUUAGAAAGAAGGAAGGAAUGACGAGAGUUCUACAAUGCAAGAUGAAGUGAGAACAGUUGGCAAGACUGAAAUGAAAUGGUUAGACGGAGCCAUGUUCGAAAGGAUAUUUAGAUUAGCUGAAGAAAGGAGACGUGAAUGGAUGGCAAGGCCUAGAAGGUAACAGAUGAAUGAAUAUUGAGGCAAAAGUAGCAAGGAUAUUGUGAUUACAAAGAGCUGGAAAAUGAAAAGCAAACGACUAUAUUGAGAAUUAGAUAUGGAAUAUUUGCUGAGAUCCUGACACUGAGAUUCAGGUGAAAGUACAAAUCUAGAAAGUAAGGUUUAGAUACUUAGAAAAACAACCCAAGUGGGAAAUGGAAGUGUAAAGUCAAGUCCCAAGUCAGAAUUACCUGCUUAGAAAAACACUCUGGAAUUGGCUGGGGAGAUAUGGAUUAAUGGAAAGGCUUAGACAGGGACGAAUGCAUUACUUGCAGGGACAGGUGGGAGUUAGGUGUGUAUACCAGCAGGGAGGUACUCAGAGAGACAGACAGACAGGAGGGAAGAGACAGAGACAGGAGUGGGGAGAGAGACAAACAAACAGAAAGGGAGAGACAGAGUGAAAGAGGGGGAAGUUAGGUGUGUAUACCAGUAAUACAGAUGUGAGGAAUAGGGUAAAAUGAGGGUGGGAAUAAUAGAGAAUUCUAGGAGGGAAAGAAAGAUAAAAGAACAGAAGGAGGGUUAGGCGUGAUCAAGAGAGACCCAAAUGGAGCUACACAACGGACGGAUCACAGCGAUGGAUUCCAUGGAGAAAAUGCAACGGAUCAAGAAACAGCUGGAGUGGAUCUGUGAUGAAGGAAUACAGAUCAGCAAACAGCAAUCCUGAGAGGUGAACAUUUACAGCUUUGGAGGCUACCUCACGAAUCCAGGAGAUCCAGAGACUUCGAAUAAGAGUUGUCCGACAAGAAGGAACUGUUUUCUUGCAACUGGACCCAUUUUUGGAGAAAUGAACAUACAUCGGGACUGGAAUGGACCAUGUGACCUUGGAAAGUUCAGAAGAGCUACUGGAGGUUCGGGAGCUUGAGUCCGAGACAAACUUGGUAAUCGCCGAGCCUAGUCUGCCAGCACGGCCCCAAGGGACAGCCAAGACGCCAGGUCCUACAAGCAAGAAAGCAACUCUGUCCAUUGCGCCACGUUCAGAAUUUAACAUGGCACGCAAAUGCAUUGGAGCAGAAACUUUAAGUUUCAUCUCACUUUCCUCAGGAACUAAGGUGGUUUGGGGGAAUAUAUGCCCUGGACUGUGUCUUCUCAGUGAAUAGAUCUUUGUAACAGGAAAUUGAUGUCUAUUGGUUAAAAGGAGGCAAUAAUAAACCCACAAGCACUGGCAACUGAUACUGAAUAAAAAACAUUGUUAAAGGCUCAGGCCAAAAGCAUUAGAACAAAACAUUUUCAAUCUUUCAGAGACAGUCCUAGAACCCUGAGGUGAGAUGGAGGAGCUGACCCUGGAAAGUCAAAGCUGCAGAGCACAGCCUGCAUACUCAGUUUCUCUCCUUACUGUUUCUUAGGAUCUUUGGGGAUGAAAGAGAGGGGAAGACUGGGAGGAAAAGCAGGAGGAGCAGUCUAAAUAUGAUUAAGGACCAAGUAUCACAUCUAGGAGCUCUGAAAUUUGUUGCCUUGUGUUUGUGCUGUUGUUUUUUUUGUUUUGUUUUGUUUUGUUUUUUAACAUGACCACUUUAUAUUGAUUGCAUCUUAUAAAUGAAAGAUUUAUCCAGAAUAAGGUAAUUCCAGAAUUGGGGCAGAAUGUGGCUGUAGAUUUUAUUUUUCUUAUUACUGAGAUAUAUGUAUUGCACCUUUAACUUAAAUUAAGGAGCAGGCCAGGACCACAUGCCUCCAUGGGAAGGGAACUAGUCUGAGUUUGUUCAGGCUGAGUUCCCUCUUGUAGCCAAUGGAGAUGCUAAAACAUUUGAGAAAGGCUAUUUGGGGGAGGUACCAGUGCAAGUCUAAUGGUGCCUCUAGGGUAAUGGCUGCAAUAGUGUCGCAUAGUCAACAAUUCAUAUGCUUCCCUCUCUCUUUAGAUGAUUACUAUCAUAUCUACCUACUAGGGCUUCAGGAUGGUGGCACAGGAACUGUGUGGACCAAGUCCAAUUCCAAGUAUUUCAUGCAGCCUUUACCAUUGUCACAGAGAGAUGAUGAUGAUCACAAGACAACUUUCCAAAAUUUAGGGGAGUCGGUGAAAGCAGUCCUCAAAAUCAUAUUUUCUCUCUGAAAACAUUAAUAUGAUGAAGAAAGAAUAUUAUUGACUGAGUAAUCUAAUCCUGGAAUACUAGGAUGAUUAGGAGAAACUUACCAAAUUUAGGGGAGUCGGUGAAAGCAGUCCUCAAAAUCAUAUUUUCUCUCUGAAAACAUUAAUAUGAUGAAGAAAGAAUAUUUUUGACUGAGUAGUCUAAUCCUGCAACGCUAGGGUGACCAGGAAAAACUUACCAAAAUUUAGGGGAGUCAGUGAAUGCAGUCCCCCAAAUCAUAUUUUCUCUCUGAAAACAUUAACAUGACGGAGAAAGAAUAUUUUUGACUGAGUAAUCUAAUCCUGGAACGCUAGAAUAACCAGGAGAAACUUACCAAAAUUUAGGGUAGUUGGUGAAAGCAGUCCCCAAAAUCAUAUUUUCUCUCUGAAAACAUUAACACAAUGGAGAAAGAAUAUUUUUGACUGAGUAAUCUAAUCCUGGAAUACUAGGAUGAUUAGGAGAAACUUACCAAAUUUAGGGGAGUCGGUGAAAGCAGUCCCCCAAAUCAUAUUUUCGCUCUGAAAAUAUUAACACAAUGGAGAAAUAAUUUUAUUAAUUGAGUAAUCUAAUCCUGGAACUCUAGGAUUUACUUACAAAAUGUAAAAGAAAAUUCUUCACAUGCUGAAAGAAUCAAAUUGAGAGUGUCAGUCAAGCAGCUUUACAAUUGGAAGCACAGAAACUAAGACUAUUGCCCAUUUCAUCAGUGUGCCCCAGGGGCUGAGGAAGGUGGGAGAGGAUAAGGAUGGGACAAAACAGCUCCCACUUGUGGGGUGGAACCUCAUCACAAGUAUAUAUUUAUGUUGGAUCCUUUUCCUGAACCCAGGAAGUAUCUUCACUGUAUAUGUACAUCCAGGAUGACAGUGAAUCCCACCCCAUCCUUCCCCUACCAGCAGCAAAAAGGGAGCAAGCCACAGUUCUCAGACUCUCCCUCCACUGCUAUAAAGGAGAGAGCGUCAACCCACAACUGUCAGCUCCCUUCCCUCUUCUCUUUCUCAUCAACUGCAAAGAAAGAACACCCAGUCACCAGAGUUGACACUAGGAAAUUUUGGGGGGACAAUAAUUCCAGGUGUCUUGCUGUGGGUUUGGAGUGGAGAUAUAGCCUCUUCCACUCUCAAAUUAGACACAAAGGAAAUAAAUCCUUCAUUAAAUCCCAUUGUUGCUGUUAAUUGGAACUAAGAAAUAAUGAGAGGUAGUUAUCUAUGCCCUAUGACACGAGACGUGCCUCUGGAUUCCUCCAGGAAGUGGAAAGUAUUGGGAUGGUUAGCGAGGAUUGUCUGAAGGGUAAGGGGAUAGUGGGGGGUGGUCAGCAAGUAGGCUUUGGGUGCCUUCUCACAGUCCUGCAAAUGGGGAAGGGAGGGACAACUUUGCUCCUAAUCCACGUGUAUAUGCUCCCCAUUCCCUCCUCCCUCCCAGCAUUGUACCCUCUGUUGCCAGGCUCCGUGCCCUUCCCUCUACUUAGUUCCCAUCAGCCAGCAAAAAGGAGAGAGUGACUAUACCUCUUUUUUCCUCCAAGCAGAACAAGUAAUCUUUGUAUGAAGUUAUAAUUUAGCUUAAUUUACUUAAAAACUUUCCCAUUUUAUAAAAAGAGAACAGUUUGGAACAAAAAAAGCAACUCUGCAAGAAAAAGAUUAGUGCUAAAUGGAAUCCAGCUCCCGCAGCCCGAUGCUCAGGAUCAGUAAAGGGCAUUACCAAGAUGAUUCCUUGCAUGUAUAGCUUGGACCACAUGGAAGUUGAGGUCCCUGUCAACUCUCACCAUCUAUAACCCUGUGGGUCUCAACUUUAAUACUCCUCUCAGAGAGUUCUACCAGUAGACAUACCCCCACCCAAUGUAGACACCUAAAGAAUGGGAACUAAAGAGGGCCCAAGUUUGACCCCAAGCGGAGAGCUAACUAAAAUGGCAGAAAAGGUCAGACUUGCAUAGUAUUAGAGAGACAGAAAUGGCAUGAAAUGAAACAAAAUUAAAUACAAGCACUUGAAGCAAGGGAGUUUAAACACAAGGUAUCGCUCAGGAAGGGAGAGUGGCUAUCUGACAUAAAGAAAACAGGAAAUGGGGAGCAGGGUGCUCUGGGAGCUCAACCCCUGCUUCUGUUCCUUUUCCAGAGAUAUCCUGCAUUGAAAUACAACUUCAAGCUCAUUCCCCAUGAUGAAUGCUCUACUCCUAGUGGGACUAAGAAAAUAAAUGACUGUGUCUGGGAGGGAGGAGCUUGUGUCUUCUUGGGAAUGCCCAAAGCACCCCAACAGCCUGUGGUCGAUUUCCACUCUUCUGAUUAAAACUUUUAUCAAGUA